UUUAAAGUGUAAUGUAAGUCGCUUUGGAUAAAAGCGUCUGCUAAAUGAAACAGG
This is a non-coding RNA of Gasterosteus aculeatus (three-spined stickleback), 54 nucleotides long. The record is from Rfam. Lineage: Eukaryota; Metazoa; Chordata; Actinopteri; Perciformes; Gasterosteidae.